RNAcentral lists this ribosomal RNA (588 nucleotides) under uncultured bacterium. Its description in RNAcentral is "bacterial SSU rRNA". It matches the Rfam family "Bacterial small subunit ribosomal RNA", at positions 336 to 916 of the family's 1533-position model. The record is from RNAcentral.
UUCCUACGGGAGGCAGCAGUGGGGAAUAUUGCACAAUGGGGGAAACCCUGAUGCAGCCAUGCCGCGUGUGUGAAGAAGGCCUUCGGGUUGUAAAGCACUUUCAGUUGUGAGGAAAAGUUAGUAGUUAAUACCUGCUAGCCGUGACGUUAACAACAGAAGAAGCACCGGCUAACUCCGUGCCAGCAGCCGCGGUAAUACGGAGGGUGCGAGCGUUAAUCGGAAUUACUGGGCGUAAAGCGCACGCAGGCGGUUUGUUAAGCUAGAUGUGAAAGCCCCGGGCUCAACCUGGGAUGGUCAUUUAGAACUGGCAGACUAGAGUCUUGGAGAGGGGAGUGGAAUUCCAGGCGUAGCGGUGAAAUGCGUAGAUAUCUGGAGGAACAUCAGUGGCGAAGGCGACUCCCUGGCCAAAGACUGACGCUCAUGUGCGAAAGUGUGGGUAGCGAACAGGAUUAGAUACCCUGGUAGUCCACACCGUAAACGCUGUCUACUAGCUGUGUGUGCCUUUAAGGCGUGCGUAGCGAAGCUAACGCGCUAAGUAGACCGCCUGGGGAGUACGGCCGCAAGGUUAAAACUCAAAUGAAUUGACGG